Lysinibacillus xylanilyticus is the source of this 67-nucleotide non-coding RNA. NCBI's taxonomy places the organism in Bacteria, Bacillati, Bacillota, Bacilli, Caryophanales, Bacillaceae. The record is from Rfam.
GGCAGGGGAACGAAGGCUAAAAACAUCACGUCCUGUGAUAUCGCCCACGUGACCAACCUCCCGCUGC